Molecule: unclassified non-coding RNA, 433 nt
Filed under: soil metagenome
Description: partial contains 5.8S ribosomal RNA, internal transcribed spacer 2, and large subunit ribosomal RNA
Rfam family: 5.8S ribosomal RNA (bases 1-120)
Source: RNAcentral
GAUGAAGAACGUAGCGAAAUGCGAUACGUAAUGUGAAUUGCAGAAUUCAGUGAAUCAUCGAAUCUUUGAACGCAUAUUGCGCUCUCUGGUAUUCCGGAGAGCAUGCUUGUUUGAGUAUCAGUAAACACCUCAACUUCCAUAUCUUUUUUGAAAUGGGAGUUGGACUUGAGUGAUCCCAACGCUUUUCCUCACCGAAAAGUGGCGGGUUACUUGAAAUGCAGGUGCAGCUGGACUUUUCUCUGAGCUAUAAGCAUAUCUAUUUAGUCUGCCUAAAAAACAGAUUAUUACCUUUGCUGCAGCUAACAUAAAGGAGAUUAGUUCUUGUGCUGACUGAUGCAGGAUUCACAAAGACAGGCUUCGGCCGACUUUGUAAACUCGAUCUCAAAUCAAGUAAGACAACCCGCUGAACUUAAGCAUAUCAAUAAGCGGAGGA